This 981-nucleotide ribosomal RNA is filed under the name uncultured bacterium. Its description in RNAcentral is "bacterial SSU rRNA". It matches the Rfam family "Bacterial small subunit ribosomal RNA", at positions 510 to 1502 of the family's 1533-position model. The record is from RNAcentral.
AGCAGCCGCGGUAAUACGAAGGGACCUAGCGUAGUUCGGAAUUACUGGGCUUAAAGAGUUCGUAGGUGGUUAAAAAAGUUGGUUGUGAAAUCCCGAAGCUUAACUUCGGAACUGCAAUCAAAACUUUUUAGCUAGAGUAUGAUAGAGGAAAGCAGAAUUUCUAGUGUAGAGGUGAAAUUCGUAGAUAUUAGAAAGAAUACCAAUUGCGAAGGCAGCUUUCUGGAUCAUUACUGACGCUGAGGAACGAAAGCAUGGGUAGCGAAGAGGAUUAGAUACCCUCGUAGUCCAUGCCGUAAACGAUGUGUGUUAGACGUUGGAAAUUUAUUUUCAGUGUCGCAGCGAAAGCAAUAAACACACCGCCUGGGGAGUACGACCGCAAGGUUAAAACUCAAAUGAAUUGACGGGGACCCGCACAAGUAGUGGAGCAUGUGGUUUAAUUCGAAGAUACGCGCAGAACCUUACCAACACUUGACAUGUUCGUCGCGGCUCUAAGAGAUUAGAGCUUUCGGUUCGGCCGGACGAAACACAGGUGCUGCAUGGCUGUCGUCAGCUCGUGUCGUGAGAUGUUGGGUUAAGUCCCGCAACGAGCGCAACCCUCACUUUUAGUUGCCAUCAUUUAGUUGGGCACUCUGAAAGAACUGCCAGUGAUAAGCUGGAGGAAGGUGGGGAUGACGUCAAGUCCUCAUGGCCCUUACGUGUUGGGCUACACACGUGCUACAAUGGCAUUUACAAUAGGAAGCAAGAUGGCGACGUCAAGCAAAUCCUGAAAAGAUGCCUCAGUUCGGAUUGUACUCUGCAACUCGAGUACAUGAAGCUGGAAUUACUAGUAAUCGCGGAUCAGCGCGCCGCGGUGAAUACGUUCCCGGGUCUUGUACACACCGCCCGUCACACCAUGGGAGUUGGUUCUACCUUAAGGCAAGGUUUAAAAUCCUUGACCACGGUAUAGUCAGCGACUGGGGUGAAGUCAUAACAAGGUAGCCG